Molecule: ribosomal RNA, 438 nt
Filed under: uncultured bacterium
Lineage: Bacteria
Description: partial 16S ribosomal RNA
Rfam family: Bacterial small subunit ribosomal RNA
Source: RNAcentral
CUACGGGCUGCACCAGUGGGGAAUCUUGCACAAUGGAGGAAACUCUGAUGCAGCGAUGCCGCGUGAGUGAAGAAGGCCCUUGGGUUGUAAAGCUCUUUUGUCGGGAAAGAUAAUGACUGUACCCGAAGAAUAAGGUCCGGCUAACUUCGUGCCAGCAGCCGCGGUAAUACGAAGGGACCUAGCGUAAUUCGGAAUUACUGGGCGUAAAGCGAGCGUAGGCGGUUAAGUAAGUUAAUUGUGAAAGCCCAAAGCUCAACUUUGGAAUUGCAAUUAAAACUACUUAGCUAGAGUUUAUCAGAGGAAAGCGGAAUACAUAGUGUAGAGGUGAAAUUCGUAGAUAUUAUGUAGAACACCAGUUGCGAAGGCGGCUUUCUGGGAUAACACUGACGCUGAGGUGCGAAAGUAUGGGUAGCGAGAGGAUUAGAUACCCCGGUAGUC